RNAcentral lists this ribosomal RNA (251 nucleotides) under uncultured bacterium. Its description in RNAcentral is "partial 16S ribosomal RNA". It matches the Rfam family "Bacterial small subunit ribosomal RNA", at positions 524 to 775 of the family's 1533-position model. The record is from RNAcentral.
UACGUAGGGGGCAAGCGUUGUCCGGAAUUAUUGGGCGUAAAGCGCGCGCAGGCGGUCAUUUAAGUUUGGUGUUUAAUUCCAGGGCUCAACCCUGGGUCGCACUGAAAACUGGGUGACUUGAGUACAGAAGAGGAGAGUGGAAUUCCACGUGUAGCGGUGAAAUGCGUAGAUAUGUGGAGGAACACCAGUGGCGAAGGCGACUCUCUGGGCUGUAACUGACGCUGAGGCGCGAAAGCGUGGGUAGCAAACAG